AAUAGAUACCCCGGUAGUCCACGCCCUAAACUAUGUCGACUAGUUGUUGGGGGAGUCUGUCCCUCAGUAACGUAGCUAACGCGUGAAGUCGACCGCCUGGGGAGUACGGUCGCAAGAUUAAAACUCAAAGGAAUUGACGGGGACCCGCACAAGCGGUGGAUUAUGUGGAUUAAUUCGAUGCAACGCGAAGAACCUUACCUACCCUUGACAUGCCAGGAACCUCGCAGAGAUGUGAGGGUGCCCGAAAGGGAACCUGGACACAGGUGCUGCAUGGCUGUCGUCAGCUCGUGUCGUGAGAUGUUGGGUUAAGUCCCGCAACGAGCGCAACCCUUGCCAUUAGUUGCUACAUUCAGUUGGGCACUCUAAUGGGACUGCCGGUGACAAACCGGAGGAAGGUGGGGAUGACGUCAAGUCCUCAUGGCCCUUAUGGGUAGGGCUUCACACGUAAUACAAUGGCGCAUACAGAGGGCUGCAAACCCGCGAGGGGGAGCCAAUCCCAAAAAGUGCGUCGUAGUCCGGAUUGUUCUCUGCAA
Molecule: ribosomal RNA, 533 nt
Filed under: uncultured bacterium
Lineage: Bacteria
Description: bacterial SSU rRNA
Rfam family: Bacterial small subunit ribosomal RNA
Source: RNAcentral